GUUUCCGAGGGACCGUAACCGAAGAAAAAGACAGGCCAUAAAUUACCUCAGAGAGAACUAGGAACCAGGACCUGGUGCUCAAUUGUGUAUGUCCAAAGAGAAGAUUUUGGGCAUGCUCACUUUCUGUUGUCUAAGAAGGUGGAAAUUAACACAAUGAACUACUUCCAAGCAGCUAGUCUAGGAACAGUUACUGCCGUAAGGUACAGAUAGAACAGAAUGGAUGUGGGUGAUACCAAUCAACUUGUACAUAUCAGCUCUAAAUGCCAUCAAACCACUGGGCUGAAGAUAUAUGUUUUCGACACCAUCAAAACUUUACCCGUUUCAGGCAUCUGUAGAAAAGACUGAAACCAAGGACGAUAAAACUUGCUGCACUCGUAAUUGUAUAUGGCGUCUGGUAGCUGCCACUGUCUGCCAUUUCAGCACCUACUAUUCAUAUCAUACAGAGUGACUAUGACUCUUGCCUUCCAGGAUAUGCACAAAUGCUCUGAACUGAUGGAGUAAAACAUUCCGAAGUCUUCAGCUGCAGUGUAGUGCGAGAGUCAUUCUUCACCUGUGAGCAACACCAGAACUAAGAUCCAAAUAUCAUUUUGCAGCUGAGUGUUACAGCAUUAACAUAGAACAACAGCCUUUGAGAUACACUAUUGGGACUGUUGAACAACCAGCACCUGAGCAACAUUCUCGAAGCAGUGGAUGCCAAAUUGCAAGUGGUGUUUUGCCAGUAUUUCAAAUGUUCUACCUUGGUUUUUAUUCGAUACCAGCAUACUGUAGCACUUGGUGGUGUGGUACCUCACCGAGCUUCUGAUUUGACCCACUCAUCAGCUCUGAUGGAAUGUGAACUAUUGCUUUUUGACUUUCGUGGGUGCAGCUAGCUUGGAAAAAGUAAUGAUAGUAACAAUGAUCAAUUCUCACCUUGUAUGGAAUCUCCAUGCUUAUGAAACAGAUCAACUAUCUACCAAUUAGCCCAAAGGAAAAUCUUCAGCACAUAAAGUUAACACCAGUAUCUGGCUGCUUCUCCAGCUGACAGUUUUGUUUGAUGUUUUGUGUAGGCAGGUCAGGUGUAUGGAAAAUGCAUCAGAGACAGGAUGAUGAUAUUCAGUGUAUAGUGAGCAGUGGUGUGGGAAAGUGUGUUGUCUUUGAUCUUGUUCAACAGUGUGUUUGGAUUCUGUGUAGGAUAUACAAUGUUGAUAGUCAGACAAUACUUCAUCACCAUUUUGACCUCGACUUCUAUCAACUACAUAAACCCAAGAAUGUGAGUGUCUGAUCCUGUUGCCCAUUCUUAUGUGGGUUGAUAACAGUAUGUCCUUUCUUCUGAUGUAUAUUUAUUGUGGUACAGACAUGAAUUAUUACUUGCCUACUUAUAUGUGUUAUGAUGUAUUAUCUUGUAAUUAUGACAAUACAACAAGCACGAAAUUCACUAUUCCUCCCAAUGAACUGUAAUUGGUAGACAUAAGAGUGAAAUCAGUUCCUCUUUGAGCACCUUCUGUAUGUUUGUUACUUGGCAAAUUUGAAAUUGUAUGUAUGUUGUAACCCCCACUGCAUAUGUUCUGUGUACUUUGUAUGUGUGGUAUAAUACUGCACAGAAAAGUUCCAUAUGUACAUAGUUAAUAUGUGGUGCAAACUGUUUCUCUUUGGUUCCCUAAAGGAGAACUGGUAUCAUUAAAGCCCCAUCCCGAUACAGAUGAUUUGUUGAGUUUUAUAUAAUCAAUUGUCACAUUAGACCAUGGAUGGGAUAUUAUGAACAUCUGUGAUGUCAUAGCUAUAGUUUAUUUUAUAUGUUAAAUAAAAUGAAUAUGUAAUUUUGAGGUUGUUGGGUGAAAAACAGAUGAAUUAUUCCGAGCUACAUAAAAUGUUUGUAUUUUUACAACACUUGUUCCUAAUUUACCAUGUUCUAGUUGUAUUGUUCAAGAUUUCCUAAAUUUGUAAAACAUCAAAACUGCUUUUCAUUAUGUUGCUUAAAUAUUAUUGUGUGUCGACAGAAGCAGAAAGGAGGACAAAAUGAGAACCAAACAGUAAUGUUCAUUAUUGUAACAUGAACAAGUUGUAUCUGAGUCCAUAGGUAGUAAUUUAAGAUAAAGAGAAUUAGCGUAAAUCACACAAAAGCUGUCAUCACUGUCAACAGUUGACAUAAUAUAGAACCAUACUGCUGCUGCUACACACACACACACACACACACACACACACACACACACACACACACAGAGAGAGAGAGAGAGAGAGAGAGAGAGAGAGAGAGAGAGAGAGAGA
Schistocerca piceifrons (Central American locust) is the source of this 2244-nucleotide long non-coding RNA. RefSeq lists it as uncharacterized. The transcript is spliced from 2 exons. NCBI's taxonomy places the organism in Eukaryota, Metazoa, Arthropoda, Insecta, Orthoptera, Acrididae. The record is from RefSeq and is a predicted model, not a curated record.